GAUGAACGCUAGCGGCAGGCUUAACACAUGCAAGUCGAGGGGCAGCGGGGUCUUCGGACCGCCGGCGACCGGCGCACGGGUGCGUAACGCGUAUGCAACCUACCUAUAACAGGGGGAUAAUCUGGAGAAAUCUGGUCUAAUACCCCAUAACACUUAGAACGGCAUCGUUUAGAGUUGAAAUUUUCGGAGGUUAUGGAUGGGCAUGCGUGACAUUAGCUAGUUGGUAAGGUAACGGCUUACCAAGGCAACGAUGUCUAGGGGGACUGAGAGGUUAACCCCCCACACUGGUACUGAGACACGGACCAGACUCCUACGGGAGGCAGCAGUGAGGAAUAUUGGUCAAUGGACGGAAGUCUGAACCAGCCAUGCCGCGUGCAGGAUGACGGCUCUAUGAGUUGUAAACUGCUUUUGUACGAGGGUAAAGUCAGUUACGUGUAACUGUUUGAAAGUAUCGUACGAAUAAGGAUCGGCUAACUCCGUGCCAGCCGCCGCAGUAAAAC
RNAcentral lists this ribosomal RNA (500 nucleotides) under uncultured bacterium. Its description in RNAcentral is "bacterial SSU rRNA". It matches the Rfam family "Bacterial small subunit ribosomal RNA", at positions 28 to 526 of the family's 1533-position model. The record is from RNAcentral.